This 17729-nucleotide long non-coding RNA is filed under the name Phaseolus vulgaris (common bean). RNAcentral's name for it is "long non-coding RNA (PVUL_LNC004323)". The record is from RNAcentral. Lineage: Eukaryota; Viridiplantae; Streptophyta; Magnoliopsida; Fabales; Fabaceae.
ACAUCAUCUGCAAUAGGUGUAAAAGAAGCACUAUCCCCUUUGGCUUUGACCUCAUUAGCAUCUUCAUUCAAUUGCUUUUGAAGGGCGUCAUAGGCCUUGAUGAUAGACCAAUAGGCUGUACCUACUGGAUUAAUGUAAACUGCAUCCAGGUAGUCUCUGUUCCUUCGAGGUCUAUAGUCUAUGGUCCAACCUGAAGUCAGCAGCAUCUCCCGUAUUCUCUCUCGCAGUUUCUGUUUUUCUGUACCACUACCACGCUUGAUUUUUCCUUCUUUCGCUUUUGUGCUUGAGAGUUUAUCAUGCACAGGAGUCUGUUCAUCCUCAGAGAACAUCUUUUUUACAGGCUCACGAGCUACAGUAUUUCUUACCCCGGGAUUUAAUGAUGUGUCACUGUUAUCUGAACCCCCCUCAUCACCCUUGCCAUCCUUGCUUGACAAAUAUUUUCUUGAUGCUAUCUGUUUCUUCUCCACCCUCUUGAGUACUCCUGGUUUCUCAACAGGUUUUGUUUCCAGGUUUGAUGAAGGACGAGUUGGAACAUUCCUCUUGGCAGUCUCUUCAAUCUUCAUCCUCUUGAUGGGCUCUUCAGGUUUCAACCUUUGCCAGCUUUCCAAAGGUUUGUGAUGAUUGUAGUACUGUUCUGAUUGCCCACACACCUUCUUCUUAUUAACCAUUACCUUCAAAACACCAUUUUUCCCCUGAACCCUGAUAGACUCAUCCGAAUUAAACUUCUCCCUCUGCAAGGGUAUAGGUACCCGAACACCAUCUCUGUUACUCUUGAACCUAAUGCGAUCAAGAUUAUCUCCAGGAAACAAGCCACUUGACCUGUCUACAUAAGAGUUCUUCCGCUUAUCAACAAGACGACCACUUGACCCAUUCUUCAAUUCCCUAUCAAUGCCACUCCUAGUAGCAUGAACCGACCCCAUAAAACUUCUUCCUCCAAAACCAGCUGCAUUACCAUCCAAAUGCCUCCUCCUCAUGUUCUCCACAUCCAUACCAUCAUAUUCUUCUAAAUUGUACACAUCCAACUUACUACGCUUAUUCACCCACUGCUCCAAACCUUUAUCCGCACCCCUAAUUCGUUCCAUUCUGUGCCUCUUCCUACUAAUCUCACUCCCAACCCUCUCAGACGCAGCCAAACCAUUGCAAACACGAAUAGUCUCAGACCCAAGCCUUCUACCAGGUGGAAUCAGCAACUCGUCGCUUGAUCCAGAAUCACUAACAGGCACACUGAUGUUGGCCCUUUUCUUCGAUUCAUAGAACUUCCUAGAGGUGGAAGCAGUAGCAUCCAACCCAUCCCCUUUCUUUCGCACAAUCAAACAACCCGAGGAAUUUCUGCUCUUCACCACAACCCCAGAACCACCCGAUCUCACUUCUGAUUCCAUCUACCAAAGCCCCUCGCCAAAAUUAGCAUCUCCCGCAACCAAAACUAAACCCUAAUCUCCAGAUCUAAAGCAAAAUCGUUCUUAACUUUACACACUCAUCCCCUUCCCCUCAGACCAAAACAAAAUUCCAACCUUACCUCGCCGGAAAAUUCACGGAUUCCGUCCCCGGAAUAAACUGUGUGAAGCGAGUAAUCCCCGCCGAAAAGUGUUCCGAGGGCGACCGAAGUCGGAGAGAAAUUGAGACGAAAAAUUGGAGAGAAACUGAGAGGGGAAGAGAUUUUGGGUUGCGAUUUGCAGAAGCAACAACUAAGCUAAUAUCAUAAUCAAUCGAUAAUAACAAAAAAAGUAAAAAAAAAAACGUAAACAGAAAACAAUGUUAGCUGUUCAUGGCUUUAUGUUUUGCUUAUUUUAUUUUCCCUCCAAAUUUUAUCUUUUGUUGAAUCGCACGGUUCUGAUGCUGCCACAUUGCAUAUCUUGCACGUGGCAGAAUCGCAACGGUUCCCACGACUGUUUAUACAGUUUUUCUUACACUUUUCAGUACUGUUUCUCGGUAAGUGAGUCUUCUACAGAAUUUCUAGAGACGUUACAAAUAAGUUUUUUUUUUUUUUUUUUAAAUAUCAGUUUUUUUUUACAAAUAAGUUAAACUAAACUGAAUUAAUUGAAAAUUGAAUUAAACUGAACAGUUAAAUAAAGAUAAGUGAUAUAUUUAGAACUUGCAUUAAUUUACAAUUAUAUUUUUUCUACGAAAAAUUUGAAUCAGUUUAUAAAAUAUUAAAAAUAACCUUUAUUCAUAUCAUCAAGUUUGUAUAUUGAAAUAGGUUCUCAAAGUAUUAUUAUUGUUAAACAAAUUAAAUGGAAGAUUUUAUUUAGUUUACUAAUUAUGUUUAUUAUUUUUCAGUUUACAUUUUUUAUCAAAAUAAUAUUGACUAUAAUUAACUAUAUUUUAAUCUAUAGAAAUCAAUCUCAAAGUUGGCUAAUCUAGAUAUGAAAAUAAUGGAAUAAUGUUUUAUUUUUUUAGACAAUUAGAACAUAUUUUAUAUUUUAUGUGUGAAAUUAUGUUGCACAAAUCAUAUAUAAAUUCCAUUAUUAUUAUUAUUAUUACUACAAUAUGAUCAAAAUCAAAUCUAUAAAUAAUAUUUGUACAUUCACUAAGUUUCUUUAUAUUAAACUGAAUAUUAAUUGAGCUUAGUUAAGUCAUAAAAGUAGUCAAUAACAAGUCUUCUCACACUCCAUAUUAAUAUUCUAAAAGUUCAAACUAGUUUAUUUGACUCAUUUUCAAACAAAAGCAUUCAAUAUAUUUAUAAUAUAUUAGUCAACAAUUGGAUAACACAUACUAAACUUUUUUAUAAUAAACUUAUUAAUAGACACAAUAAUAUUGAUGUUAAACAUAUCAGUAAUUUCACAAACAAAAUAAAAAAUUAAUUUAAUUUUAUAUAUGAACUUAGUGUAAUAAAAUAAUAUAAUAUAAAUAUUGAAAUCUUAAUACAAAAGAAAAUAAUUUAUCAAUAAAAAGUGAAUUUUUUAUCUUUAAGAGCACAUAAGGUGCAAUCAUUUUUAUCAACGUUGACUCAAAUUAAGCAUUGCUUACAGAAUUUUGUUAUUUAAAACAUCAUUUUGCUACUAGAUCGUUAUGGUACAGAAUAAGAUAAAUUAAUGAAAAAAUAUUAAUAGUGUAUUAAAGGUGAGACAAAAUUAAAUUAAAAGUUGACUUUAACAACACUGUCAUUAAAGUAAACUUGUGUAGUUUAAAUCUAUUUAAUAUUGAAAGAUCCACAAAUUAAUGUAAAUAACUUAUGUAAAGACAAAUAUAGUAUGAGUGUUCUAGUAGAAUCAUGUUCAAAAAUGAAAGUCUAACCUUUAUUUAUAAAUAAUUUUUUUAAUUAGUUUAAGCAUGCUAUCUUUAACAAAUGAAGUUAAAUUGGGUUAGACUUUCUAGAAGUUAGGUCAUAGGUAAAACAAAAAGUUGUGGAAAGAGAGUUUAAAUAGAGUAUUUAAAAAUAUUUUGGAAAGCUUCCUAUUAGAUACUUUGAUUAAAAUGGGUAAUUAACAAUAAGUGACUAAACUAAUAAAAAAAAAUAAACAUUUAGUUUAGACUUUGAUAAGUUCUAGUUUAUGUGAAUAUAUAAAGUGACUUUCGGCAGAAAAAAUAAUUUCCCUUUAAAAUUAAACAACAAACAUAUAGCAUCUAAGUAUAUAAUAGUAAAAUUGUUUUAUUAAAAAAUAUUUAAAAAGUUAGGCUCCUUAUUUUAAGACUCUUAGUUUCACAUUAAUAAAUGUUUUACAAAUAAAACUCAAUAUUUAUUUAUUUAUCAAAUGCAACAAUAAGAUAUGUGUAUUUUCAAAGUUUAUGUAAGACGUGUGUUUCAAAAAUGAAAUGUUGAAAAAAUAUGGCAAGUGAAAUGAAGAUGGUCACACUAUUAGGAAAUGUCAUUUAACACCACUACCUAACAUGUACCUAUUGAUGAAUUUGUUGAAGGAGUUGAAACAAGAUUUUAACUCAAUUGCUACAUAUCAAUGUUAGUUAAUUCCUCAUCCAUUGAUUUUAAUGUUGAAUAUGAAAUUAAAAUGGUGUACUUUUUUAUAUUAACCAUUUAAUUUAAUUGUCACACAUUUGUUAAUGUCCCCUACUAACACAUCAUGUUUUGAGUAAUGGUUAAAUCAUAGAUUACAGACCAGAUGACUGAAUGGAAGCCCAAUGCCCGAUCAAGAUCGAUCGACACUACCAUAUACUAAGAAAAUUGAAGAAAACAAAGGUUUGUUCAUGGUCUCUAAGCUGUUAUUUUGGUAAGGUUUGUCGGGGUAUAGCUGUGUAAGGCAACACAAAUAAGCGUUAACUCCAUGGGAAGCAGAGUUCGAACCAACAGGGGAGGCGAUCAAGGGAGGUUAAAUGACUACACUACCUUCUUCUUCUCGAACUUCCCCCAUGGCUAUGGAGAGUUGGACAUGGUCAAGGUCUUUCAAAGGAGAGCAAGGGUAAAAGAAGUUUUCAUAUCACGGAGGUUGAACAAAUGGGGUAGAAGAUUUGGGUUCGUUAGGUUCUUUGAAGUAAGAAAUGUGGAACGUCUUGAGAGGGAGUUGGACAGUCUCUUCGUCGGAAACAUGAAACUCCAUGUAAACGUUCCAAGAUAUUGAAGGCACCAAAUGGACUCUGUUAAGGAGGAGAGGAGGGAGACGAAGGUGAACCAUCUGGAAAAACAGAGGGACACAGGGAAACAAAAGGAGAUAUGGGUAGAGAAGAAAUGGAAUAGAUCUUUUGUAGACGUUGUGAAAGGAUAUGCAAACCAAGGGAAGUGGAAAAGACCAUCAAUUAAGUCGCUUUCCCACACUAUGCCUUGGAUGGUGAAUAGCGUUGUUGGGCAGUUUGAGAAGGCUUGGGAUGUUGAUCAGCUAGGAGAGGAGUUUGUGAAAGGAGGUUUGAACAGAGUCAGUAUAAGAUACAUGGGGGACAGAUUAGUGAUGUUGACCCCAAAGGAAGGAGAGAAAAUGGAGGAUAUUAUCAACUGUAAUAAAGUAUGGUUUGACAAUCUCUUUGUGAGUCUGAAACCGUGGUCGACGUCGCACAUGGCGGACCAUAAAAUUGCUUGGGUACGAUGCUAUGGAUUACCGUUACCUCUCUGGAAUGAGGAUUGCUUUACAAAGGUUUUAGGAGAUAUGGCUACGCUGGUAUCCAUAGACACUUCCACGUUGCUAUGGGAGAACCUGGAAUACGCAAGGUUGCAAGUCCGGGUGAAGAACCAAAGCUACAUCAGACUGGAGAAGAAAUUGUGGAUUAAUGAACAGAUUUGGAAUAUCCUCAUUGAAGAAGAACCCCCUGCUUGUCACGAAGGAAGGCACACGCAAUCCUGGUAUGGUGACUCGUCGGAUAGUGUGUCGUCAUCAAAGACUUUUAUUGAAGAAACGAUUUUCUCUUCUAAAAGCUGUGAGGAGGAGGCGAGGUCUGGGUCCAAGGAAGAACUUCGGUCAGAAGGGGAGGAGGACGGUGGCAAGGCGGUGGAAGAAGGUGAGGAAGGUGCACAUAAGACAAAUUUGUUUUUUAAGAUAAUUGCUGACAAAGACAGCCCUGACCAGAGUAUAGACUGCAUAUCUUGCAUGAAAGAAGAUAGAAUAGGCCAGGUUGCGUGUCGAGGUGCUGACCUAGAUGUCAACCCUGACCAAGGCCGUUCCCUUAUCUGCAAUAGUUACUCUACCCAUGCUGAGCUGGCCAAAGUAGUGGUAGAACUUGAAAGUUUUAACUCACAAGGGACCCCCGCUCUCUAUGUGGGCCAAGGAAGGAAGGUGGAGGCCCAAUGCCUUGUGGCCCAUAUUCCUUGUGAAACCCAAAUUGGGAAAAAAGACGUUGGACUGUGCACGUUGCAGGAGGCUCCUCGAAGUGAAAAUGCAAACGAAAAUAUCAAAUCUAUGAGCUGCCGUGGAGGUAAACAGGAGGAGAAGCGUGAGGAGGUUCAAACCGGUGAAAGAGAGGUUAGUGGACUAGGUAAUCAAGGGAUGGAGAUUGAAUCUCCUUUGAAGGAAAGGGUGGACGAAUGCCACACGGAAGAAUUUGACGAAGCUUUAAAGGGUGUUAUGGUUGGAGGGUUGAAGCCUAUCGCGUUUGGAGAGGAAGGCGCGGCUGCAGGAAGUAACCUUAUGCUCUCACCACGUUGGCGCAUGAUUGAAGGGCUCUCUGAAGUGGGGGCCUCUACUUCAAAUCCGAGAAGAUCAGUGAGAAUUAAUGCACGUAUUACUAAGGCUGGGGCUUUCUCUAAUCAUAGACAUGGUAUGUCUUCAGUGUCCAUCUCUGAUGGGGAUUUCGUCAAUUGUAAUACUCGAAAUUGUGACCCACCAAAGCUUUGGGAGAUCGGUAAACAAGCGGGGCUGUACUGUACAAAGGACGAGGAUGAGGUGGUUAAGGAAUAUAUGUGCCUAGAGGAGAGAGACUUGGUGUUUUUGCAGAGUUAUGAGGAGGGUAAGCAGAAGGAUCAAUCAUGUUAAUUGUAAACCUGAAUAUAAGAGGGGUGGGGGGAAGCACAAAGACUAGAUACUUGAGGCAUAUUAUAGCAAAGGAAGGUGCAAAAUUCGCGUGUAUUCAAGAAACGAAAUUGAGAACUUGUACAAAUGUAAAAUGUUUCUCCCUUUGGGGGGACAACAACGUGGGCUGGGUUCACUAUGGUGGAGAAAAUGGGAGUGGAAGCUUGUUGACUAUGUGGCAUAAGGAUGCUUUCACCUAUGAAAGUCAUGAAAUGGGGAAGGGGUUCAUUGCGGUGGUUGGACAGCACACUAAAUCUAGCUGUAGGUGUGUGGUUGUAAAUGUUUAUUCCGCAUGCUUGUUGAGAGAAGAUUGAUAUGUGGGGGAAUUUAUCUGCUAUUAAAGGGGCUUCUUUGGACCCAAUUUGGUGCUUCUGUGGAGAUUUUAACGCUAUUAGAAAGCGAGGAGAAAGGAAAGGAACAAGUGUACGGGACAACGAUACAAGCGAGAUGGGAAGUUUUAAUAACUUCAUUGAAUCUAAUAUGUUGAUUGAACUACCAAUUGUAGGCAAAAAAUACACUUGGUUUAGUUCAAACAGGAAGGCAAUGAGCAGGUUAGACAGAGUGUUAGUCUCUAAAGAAUGGUUGCAGGAAUGGCCAAUGGGUAAGCAGUAUGUGCAACGUAGAGAGGUUUCUGAUCACUGUGCGAUAGUGGUGAAGUCUUUGGUUAAGGAUUGGGGACCUAAACCCUUUCGGACCAUUGAUGCGUGGUUUAUGGAGAAGGGAUUCUUAACGAUGGUGAAGGAUUGGUGGACCUCUUACCCCGUUCAGGGGAAUGCUUUUAUAGUGUUUAAAGAGAAACUGAAAUGUUUAAAGGGAGACUUGAAGAUUUGGAAUAGGGAUAGUUUCGGUAACAUGGAGUCUUCUAAGAAGAAGAUUUUGGAGGAGCUUGAGGCUCUUGAUUGCCAGGCAUGUAGUGGAGUUUUAGACGUUAGCGAGAAUUUGCAGAGGUUGGGCUUGUUGAGUCGUCUAAAGGAAACCGAUAGGAGGAUAGAAUCCUUAUUGAGCCAAAAAGCUAGAACCAAUUGGCUUAAGUAUGGGGACUCUUGCACUAGAUUCUAUCAUUCCUCUCUAAGGUGGAGACGCCUUAGAAACGAAGUUAAAGGUGUGGAGGUGGGAGGUCAAUGGUGUGAAGAACCCUGUACAGUUCGGUUGGAAGCGAAGAAGCUCUUUGAAUCUAGAUUUACAGCAACGAAAGACUUUGGUGUAAGACUAGAUGCGGUUGAGUUUGAAUCCCUAACCUGGGAAGACAGCAUGAGCCUUCUAAAAGUGUUCUAUGAGGAAGAAGUAAGGGAUGCCGUGUGGCAAUGUGAAGGUUCUAAGAGCCCAGGACCUGACGGUUUUAACUUCAAUUUCAUUAAGAAAAGCUGGGACUUUGUAAAAGAGGAGGUUAUGGCAAUUAUGAAUCUCUUCCAUGCUACAGGUGCUUUACCGAAGGGAUGCAACGCAUCCUUCAUUGCUUUGGUCCCGAAGAUUAGGGACCCUAUCAAACUGGAGCAAUAUCGACCUAUUUCGUUAGUAGGGGCUAUGUACAAAAUCAUCUCUAAGGUGUUGGCUGGCAGAAUCAGGAACGUCAUCUCCUCAAUAGUCGAUGAUAGCCAAUCAGCUUUUGUAAAGAACAGAGGGAUACUUGACAGUGUGCUAAUGGCCAAUGAAGUAGUAGAGGAUAUAAGGAGGGGUGGGGGGAGUGGCUUGUGUCUGAAGGUGGAUUUUGAGAAAGCUUAUGAUUCGGUAAGAUGGGAAUUUCUCUAUGACAUGCUCCAAAGGUUGGGGUUUCAAAAUAAGUGGAUUAGCUGGAUCAGAGGAUGCAUGGAAAGUUCCACCGUUUCAGUGCUUGUAAACAGGAGCCCAACGGAGGAAUUUAAACCUUCCAGAGGGCUGAGGCAGGGCGAUCCUCUUGCCUCCUUCCUGUUCAUAUUGGUAGUAGAAGGCUUGGCAGGUCUAGUAAGACAAGCUACUAAGGCGAAUCUACUCUCUGGCCUUAAGAUUGGGAGGAAGAAGGUUGAGUUGAGUAUCCUGCAGUUCACAGAUGACACCAUGUUCUUCUGUGAGGAUUCCUACACCAAUGUGGUGACGUUGAAGGCAAUACUAAGGGGUUUUGAGUUAGCUUCANNNNNNNNNNNNNNNNNNNNNNNNNNNNNNNNNNNNNNNNNNNNNNNNNNNNNNNNNNNNNNNNNNNNNNNNNNNNNNNNNNNNNNNNNNNNNNNNNNNNNNNNNNNNNNNNNNNNNNNNNNNNNNNNNNNNNNNNNNNNNNNNNNNNNNNNNNNNNNNNNNNNNNNNNNNNNNNNNNNNNNNNNNNNNNNNNNNNNNNNNNNNNNNNNNNNNNNNNNNNNNNNNNNNNNNNNNNNNNNNNNNNNNNNNNNNNNNNNNNNNNNNNNNNNNNNNNNNNNNNNNNNNNNNNNNNNNNNNNNNNNNNNNNNNNNNNNNNNNNNNNNNNNNNNNNNNNNNNNNNNNNNNNNNNNNNNNNNNNNNNNNNNNNNNNNNNNNNNNNNNNNNNNNNNNNNNNNNNNNNNNNNNNNNNNNNNNNNNNNNNNNNNNNNNNNNNNNNNNNNNNNNNNNNNNAAUGCAGCUCUUCUGGCUAAAUGGAGGUGGAGAUACAUUUCGGAGGAGAAAGGGAGAUGGAAGGAACUGCUAGAUUCGAAGUAUGGCUCGGAAGUGCAGAUUCCGGUCAAACUUCAAUCAUGGUGGUGGAGAGACUUACACAAAGUCUGUAGGGAGGGUGAAGGUGAAAGGUGGUUUCAUAAAGAAAUUGGAUGGAAAUUAGGAUGUGGAGAUAAAAUUAGGUUCUGGGAGGAUGUGUGGAUUGGUAACUGUAAUCUCAAAACUUUGUUCCCCAGAUUAUACUUGUUGUCUUUAAACCAGGGGCACAAGGUGGGAGAGGUAGGUGUGUGGGAAGAGUCGGGUUGGUGCUGGCGGUUAAGGUGGAGACGGGAAAGAUUUGAGUGGGAAUCCGCUCUAGUACAAGAACUUGAAGUGCUCAUAACCACGACAACCAUUCUUAAAGAAGAGAAGGACGUCCAGGUAUGGGGGAACGAGGAGAAAGGGUGCUUCUCAGUCAAUAAUGCUUACGUGUGUCUAUCAAAACAAGGAAGAGGGCCUCAACAUGAUGUCUUUAAGUCGCUGAGGGAAGCUAAGGCGUUCCCAAGUGCGGUGACUGUAGCGUGGAGAAUUAUGAUGGAUAGACUUCCUACUAGAAUAUGUUUGAGAAGGAGAGGGGUGUUGAUGGAAACAACCUUAUGUGCUCUUUGCCAGACAAAGGAUGAAUCGUGUCAACAUCUUUUUUUGGAUUGUAAAUAUGCUAAUCAAGUGUGGUCCAUGUGCUUCAAGUGGAUUGGAAUGUUGUUUGUUCAACACAAUGAUAUAAUGACGCACUUCGAGAGCUUCAACCUGUUUCAGGUUAGUCAUAAUCAAAACCUGGUUUGGAAAGGGGUUUGGGCAGCGGUAGUCAGGUGUAUUUGGGAUCAGAGGAACUUGGUAGUUUUCAAACAAGGCGUUGUAGAUGCAGAAGAAAUUUUUCAGCAAGCACAAAUUAAAUCUUGGCAAUGGCUGAAACAUAAGACAAGUUCCUUUAACUACUCCUUAGUGGAUUGGGUCCUGAAUCCAAUGUGCUGCAUAAAAAGCUACAAAUAACUAGAUCUUGGUGACAUGCUCGGUGGAGGAAAGGAGGAGAUGUUGCUAGCGUGGGAAUAAGGCAUUGGUAGUGUGCUGGUUGCAGGGUUUAGAGGUUGCUGACUAAAGGUUUUAGUUUCCAUUGGUCUUGUCCUGUUCUGUAGGUACCGACUGAACUGGCCAGCUUAGUUUCUCAGACAGAUCGGUGGUGAAUUGCCCCUGUCAUGCUCAUUGGAUUGGAAGCUGUUGUCACAGUCAUACUUGCGGGAUGGUGCUUUUAAUUCUCCUAUGGAAGGUUGCAAUGCAGCUGGCUACAGUGGGCGAACCUGAGCAAAGGAGUACCUCAGGGUUCUCCUUGGAAGGGUGAGGUCUAUUGUUUGGUGUAAGUAGCGGAAGGCAAGGGUUCUGACUCUAGAGCAUCUGAAGGACUGUUAUGUGGAAGGAGUUAAGGAGGGGUAAGUAGUACCCUAAGAAGCUAUGGUUAAGUGCAAGAAUCAAAUUGCCUAAAGUGUAAAGUGGUAUGGUGAAAUCAACAUGGUUGCGUGGUAGACAUGAUGUGGCACGGUCUAAGGGAGCCUUAUAGCAGAAACUAACUGGUUUUUACUGGUUUGGGGACUUAGGCCAACCGUCCAAUUGGGACGAUCUUCCAUCAACUGCAAUACCAAAGGACUUGGACCUGGAGCAAUAGAUCAGACCCAAUUACUAUAAAGGUGAGCAGGUGCAUCUGUGACCUAGGGGUUGCAGCUGUGGUUACAUGAGCUAUAGAAUGGGUUGGAGGUGUGUAGUUGGGCUUAUACAUGGUUGACAUAUAGUGCUCUAGGUGCAUAUGGCUCUGCAGAAGCAAUUUUUAAUCAGGACUUAUCAAGCCUAGAUGGUUGAGCUUGUGGGAACCUGAUACUUGCAUCUGUAUUUUAAGCUUGUAAAGGGUUGGGGUACCCCUUAAGUAUCCCAAUUUAAUUUUCAUUAAUUCAUUGCUGAUAAAAAAAAAUAUACUAAGAAAAUUAAUAAGGUUAAUCAACAAUUAAACACUAGGUAAUAUAUUUCUAAUUACAAUCCAUGUCCUUAAUCCGAUCCAUUGACACAAAACUCAUGAUAAUCAUAUAAAUACACAGAUUCCAAGAAUCAUGUACGUUAUUAUUAUACACUGAAUACACCAAGUGCUGACUACCGAAAUCUCACUUGAGUGUCGGAGUACCUUUUGCAGGCACCAUCCGAGCUUGAGUUCACAAGGACGAGAGAAGGCAAAACGAGUACUAAGAGUUCACACAGAGGGGGGAGAAACCGACCGAGAAAAAAGAACAAUUAUUCGGUUUGAACCACGUUCGACAACAAACUCAUUUAUCUAAAAAAUAUCAACAUAUAAACACUACUUAAGUGAUGUAAGUUUCUCUUUGGUCGUUAAUUUCAUUAUUCAUAUCUAUUAUUAUAUAUAUAUAUAUAUAUAUAUAUUACUACCAAGUUCUUCUAGAACAUUGCACCUAAGUGUCUGCAUUUCAAUCACUUCAUUAAAAGUAAUUACCAUAACCAUUUUCACAAUAAAAAUAAAGUUACAAAAAAAAUAUUAUAACAGAAGUAAAAUUGUAAGAAGAAUAUGUAUAUUAGUAUAGAUGCCUGACAUGAAAAAUGUGGAGUUUAAUUGCAGAAAGUAAAAAAGUAGAAGAUAAAAAGCUAUAGUGAAAUACAAUUGUUAAUUGAUGCACAGUGCACACCAAAUUCUACAAAUAUGGCAGAAAUUGACCACAAGCCGAAUACAAGGAGCUCGAAUUGGAAUGCAAAAGACAUAAUUCUUGCUUCCCAUAAUUACUCAUUAAAUACAGACAAGUCAUAUUAAACACAUGCUACCAAUAUGUGUAAAAAAGGGAGUCAAAAACACCAUAAAAAAUCUAUGUAAAAAAUUUGCUCACAGUACAGUUGCUUAUGUCAUAUGAUGAUUGCUGAAUUGCUACGGACAUUGGUGGCACAAAGGAAUUGAGCAGAAACCACUCUACCACAUUCAGCUAUAUAUACAAUAGGAACCGCACAAUCGUCUAAUGCAACUCAAAGUAUUUGCUUCUGUUGAAAAACCGCUGUAUAUUAACUCCCAGUAAUUUUUUUACCUAUUCGGCUAAAUGCAACAGGUCUGGCGCCAGAUGCAGUUGAAUACUUUCGGCAGACGAAACAUUCACAUACAAUGAAGUUAGCUAAUUUUAACCUUGAAAAUCACCCAUAAAUGACAAGGGACCAAACAAUAUUUCCUUCAAAACCAACGGAACGAAUUCAUAAUACCCUGAUCCAACACGAUGUAGAAGCUUCAAAAGCCUUGAAAAUUGACUUGCACACAAGCAAUGAAGCUCCGAAAAGAAAACUAGCUUAUGAUAACAUGUGGUGCAGUACAGGACUCAGUCAUUCUGCUAGACCAGAACUGUCUCAGAACUAACGCCAGAAGCAUUUACAGCACUUACAUCCUUCUCAUUUUCACAUCCAAUUUCAUUUUUGGAAUCAGAUUCUACCUGCAACAAACUCUUAUCAGCAAGUUUGAGAGCAGAUCUGGAGUCAUCUAUAUUUUGAUCAUCCCCCUUUCUAGUAUUCUCUUCCGGUAAAUUACUUGAAGGAACGGCUUCAAGAGAGUCAUUCAUACAAACCUCUUUAGUAGGUGAAGUAUUGCCUGCCUUUUGAGAACCCAACACUGGAUUAAUGUCAAGCUCUGACGAAUCACAAUUCAUAGCAGUGAAUGAGUGACAUUUCUUGUCAAGGUUUUCUGGUGAACAUGGAUCAGAAGAAGUUUCCUUAACCAAAGUUUGAACGUUUGGAAUAUCUUCUGAGUGACUACUCUCAGAAUUGUCAUUAGGAGAAAUGGACUGACAUUUCGAAGGAGAACUUAAUUUAUCAACAGGAGCAGCAGGCACCACUUUAUUCUUCAUUUCUAGUGCACUGUGACUAGUUCUAGAAUGAGAAAUACAUUUAUCUGAAACUGAAUCAGACACCAUUUCCUCGGAAUCAGAUUUGGAACAGAGAGUCCCCUCAACCAAAAUAUGGUUGUUUAGUUCUUCAGAAGCAUCACUGCAUUCAUCAUUCGUCUCAUUAGCAGGAUUUGAACUAACAUCAUCACUUCCAUGAGCAUCUUGUGGAGUUAAAGAACCCAUAUCUGACCGAUUUUCCAUUUUCAUAGGGGUAAAAUCAUUGCCUCCAUUUCCCAUUUUCUCAGAACCUGUCAGGAAAAAAAAGUAAAACUUAUGUAAAGGGAAAAGUAACUUCAGAAUUUUUUUUAUAAAAAAACAGCAUAAACAGAUGCAGUUUUAUUACCCUCACGUUUUCCUUGUUCAACUAACAGCUUCUGUAACAUAUCUAUACCAGGGAAGACCAUCAUAUUAAGUGACUUCAUUUCUUGCCUGAGUGAAUUGUCUAGAUGUGUGAAGCCAAAAAUCGUUGUCCAUGUAUGUGUGAGUUCAGCAAUUGCAGGAAUAACUAGUUUUUCAACUUUGAGAGAGCAAAGGGCCUUUUGAUCAAGGAGGAACAAAUGAGAUAAGAAUGAGUCAACGUCAAUAAAAGAUGCAUGCAAAAAGGUCCAACCAAAAUUUUAAACAGAUUUUAGGUGCAAGGAAAUCACAAAGAACCAUAGCUUAAAGGUUUACCGAUUCAAUGGCAGAAAAGAGCCGGCGGCACAUCCCCUGGCACCUAUAUACAUGGCGAGUUCCAAUGAAUGGCAUCUCUGCUAUCUUAGUUCCAUGCAACCUAAGACAUGAAAGUAAAUAUUUACAUGUAUACUCCCAAACUAACAUAAAUAUACAGCAACAUAGAUAUAAGUUAUGAGAGUGAGAGAUCAAGAAAACAGCCAUGGCCUUCUACCAUCCUUUUAGGCUAAAAGAUCAGUAAAACUGAAUGUUACUUUCAAGAAGGUUAGAAACAAGAGCAAGUGGCUGCCCAAUGCCACUCAUGCUUUACUUGUUACAAAGUGAUAUGGCAUUGUUGUAUAAAAGCCAUAGGAUUAGGGCACUGCCAAACUUAUGAAUCCUUUCUCCUCACCAUUGCCACAUUGGUAAUUUCUUACUCAUUUUAACAGACUAGUGUAUGAAAAAGAGAAGCUCUCUCUUAAGUAGUCACACUAGUGUAUCAUAGUUAGCAAAUUCAAAAGACUAGUCAUAUAAAAAAGAAAAGCUCUCUUUAAAGCAAUUGAAGUAAGCCAAUCCAUACUUUACAUUAUAAUGAAUUUCAUUCUACAUGAUCACAAAAAAUUCUCUAAGUAACUACAAUGUUAUAUUUUUUCGUUGUCAAGUGUCAACCACUCAUCUUCCUUAGUUCCCCUCAUUUUUCUAUGGUAGAUCUGUAAUUGGGUAGACUUUUCAAUCAAUUGCAACUGAAAAUCCUUUCACUAUCCCAAAGUCUACUAUAUCUGCAGUUUUCCCUCUUGAAAAAAAAGCUCAAAUAUCAAGUAAAUGAGUCCACAGGGCAAAGUCUGAGUCUUAGUACCUGAUAGAUGCUGCAGCAAUUAUUUCAUCCCCUCUUUCCAAAAUAGCAGCAUAAAAUCCACCAUAGCUCAACCGGCUAAAGUUUGAUCUGAAAUGAAAAAUAGACAGAGAAAAACAGUUAGGCUAGAAAUAUCUAACGGAAAACAAAAAUAUACAGAGAGAGUAACUUUGAUCUAUUAAUUUAAUGUUCUUCAAGCACAAUGUCGAGGUGCAUGACAAUACCAUGAUAUUAACACCCGAAGCUACCAUUGUUGCUUGAAAAACUGUACCCUAAACCCUAAUUUUACAUCUUAAAAAAACUUUCAAAUUUUUUGUAGUUUCCAGUAUUUUUUUCUUCUAAACUUAAUUUUUUGAUAUUUCAACUCUACCAUAAACCCAAAAAGAUCUGAACUAAAAAUAAUAUUUUGAUGGUUUUAUGUUGACGAAAAUCAACAAGGGGGUCACAAAUUUGCUUGAUUUUUAAAAUAAAAGACUUAAUUAGCUUGGAAAAAAAACAUUUGGAGACCAAAACCACACAUAACUCAAAUUAGAGGAACCAAGAGUGCAAAUAUGCAAUUAAGCCUAAAUUAAUCGUCUCAUUUCCUACCAGUUUAAAUUAUCAAGCAGUCAACAUCAUGUGCAAAGUCAGACAGUAUUAAAAGUUAAAACAACAAAAAGGAACACAUAGGUAUGAUGGUUUACUCUAGAGCUCACCCAGUAUUAUAUAAAACGUUACGGAUUAAAUUGAUCCCACUCCUCCGAUCAACAACAGGUAAAAAGCAUUCAUCCAUCACAGCCAGUCCAAUAGCCAACUUUGAAUUGCAUUCAACUCUCUGGGUAAUUCCCCUGCAAGCUGCCUCUGAGUCUUCAUCUGUUCUAUGAAUGAGAGACCAUGAAAAACCCGCUUCUAGUUCAUGCUUGGUACCAAGGUAUUUCUUCAAGUGUUCAGAAAUCUGUAAAAGUACAAUAUAACAAUAAUACUAACGAGUCAGAAUCUGGCCUUACCAUAGCAGCAAUACAAAAGUUCACUUCUAAUUUUACUCUUCCUUGGAAAAUUACCAUUCUAAGAAACAAUUAAAAUACACAAUCCUCCAAAAAGAAAGUUACUCAGAGUCGUGAAAGAAACACAAAUUGCAUAGACUAGUGCAAAAGCAUAAGUGGUACUCAUGGAUGCGUAAUUAUACAGUAUAAAAUUGUUAGAAAUAAAUAUAUGUUUUUCAUGUUAUACUUCAGAACUUGGAAAACCAGAAACAACUGUAAGAGGUACCUCUUUACACUCUUUCCCACAAAAAGAAAGGCUUGAAGUAUUCAAGCUAUUAGGAUUGGUAUCCAUCUCCUCAGAGCAAGAGUCAUGAUCUAUGCAAAUGAAAAGAAUAACUUAAAUGAAGUCAAAGGAAAAAAAAAAUAAGGGAUAUAAACAUAUUGAAGAAACAUCAAAUAUAAAUGAGUCAAAGUGAAUACAUUUCUUCUCACAUAAGUUGCAUGUCCGUAGGACAUACACAGAUGCAUCAUCUUUUUCAGAUGUCCUAGUAGCUAUGCCACAAAAUUUACAGGUGCAAUUUGUACAAUGCCAUUCACCAGCAGGAAGCAUCUGCAACAACAUAAAUGGAUUACUAAUGAAGAAAACCAUCCUCCUAUAAUUAUUAGCAAAUAAUCAUGUUACUAAAAUAAGGUACAGCGUGCAAUUGCACCAAGUCAAUAACACCUCUGUCAAAGUGUCAAUAAUUGAUUAUUAUAGUUUUUGUGUAGAAGAACACUGACUAUACCGUGUGAAAACCAAUACAAAAUGCCUACUAGAUAUAAAAGAAGUUAGUCCUGUGGAGUUAUUGACUUAGUUAUAAAAACUAUUCUACGGGUAGGCAUUCAGCAGGCACAAAUUUUGUCUAAAGAUACAACUUUUUGUCAUUCCCCAACAGACAUGAGGCAAAAACAUAAUAACAAGAAAUCUUCAGUCCCUUUGACGUCAUAGCAAAAAAGCUACCAACAAAUAGAAAUUAUUGUCCCACUUCCACCACCCCAAACAAAAAUUAGACAAACCAAAUGGCAUCAGAAAGGGGCAUCAUAAAUUUAAUAUGCUACUGUUCACUAAGAGACUAUGCAAGACAAUUCAGAGAACAAAUAUGAACUAUGUUGAGAAGUGAGAACCAUAACAACACAUAUGGAGAAUAAAAUAUGCACACAUACUUGAAUAUCCAAGCAACUCUGAUGAAAUGUUGAUGGACAACCAUCACAACAGAUUAAAUCCCCUCCAUCUCCACAUAUACCACAUGUAUCAUCGUUUGGAUCAUUGCCAUCAAUAUCCACUGAAUGGAAACCAAUUUUUUCAGAAUGCUCUUGUCUGUUCCAUGCAUCUAUUUGGCAUUGUAGAAGAGAAACACCAGAUUCCAAAUAUAUAUUUUGAUAUGGCUGUGGCAAUUUGCUUCCUGCAUGAAGUUCAAACUUUGAAACUGUAAGGAUCUUACUGCAGCAGCCACAAUGAAUGCCAUCUCUUGUGAUCCACCCCUCCAGAAGGACUUUUUUCCGUCUGCGGUACUGAACCUUUUGACUUAACUCUACAGUUCCAGAGUCAAUUAACCAGGCAAGAACUGUCCUUUUCCCCACAUAUGGGACAAAGCCAUCAGAUUCUGAAUUUGAUCCUUUAUUAGAACUGCGAACUAGCAAGGUACAUCUUCCAUGUUUUUUACUCUUCCUUCCGUGUAUAUGAGGAUCACCUCCAAAUAAUGAUUUUUCUAUUCCAUCACUUGAGUGAUGGGUAGCAUUCUGGAUUUUAGUGCGAGCAGUGGUAAUGGUAUUUUCAGACAUUUUACUUUUCAUUGACUUACUUCCCUGCUUUAUAAAGGAGCUUAACUUCUCCUCAUUGCUGUCACUAUCUGUGCUAUUCAUAUCACACUUGUUGCUGGCAGAUCUCUUUCUUUGCGGCUCUUUUUCAUUACGACUUUCACUGUCAUAUUUUUUCUUCUUCUUUUUCAAUUCUUUCUCCAUUUUCUUUCUAGUUUUCCUUGUAAGCUGACUGAGCACCUCAUCUGCAAUAGGAGCAAAAGAAGAACUAUCCCCUUUGGCCUUGACCUCCUUAGCAUCAUCAUUCAAUUGCUUUUGAAGCGCAUCAUAGGCCUUGAUGAUGGACCAAUAGGCUGUACCUGCUGGAUUAAUGUAAACUGCAUCCAGGUAGUCUCUGUUCCUUCGAGGUCUAUAGUCUAUAGUCCAACCUGAAGUCAGCAGCAUCUCCCUUAUUCGCUCUCGCAGUUUCUGUUUUUCUGUACCACUACCACGCUUGACUUUCCCAUCUUUUGUUCCUGCGGUGGGGAGUUUUUCG